GUCUUUGCGCAGUGGCAAUAUCGUAAGCAAUGAGUUUUAUUCGAGGUGCGAUUGUUGCUAUUGAAAACUUAUACCAAUACCCCGCCUGUUGUUGUUGCGGUCUUCAGUCGUGAGACUGGUUUGAUGCAGCUCUCCAUGCU
Schistocerca gregaria is the source of this 140-nucleotide small nuclear RNA. RefSeq annotates it as U4 spliceosomal RNA. NCBI's taxonomy places the organism in Eukaryota, Metazoa, Arthropoda, Insecta, Orthoptera, Acrididae. The record is from RefSeq and is a predicted model, not a curated record. The transcript has a single exon.